Molecule: ribosomal RNA, 371 nt
Filed under: uncultured eukaryote
Lineage: Eukaryota
Description: partial 18S ribosomal RNA
Rfam family: Eukaryotic small subunit ribosomal RNA
Source: RNAcentral
CAAUAGCGUAUAUUAAAGUUGUUGCAGUUAAAAAGCUCGUAGUUGGAUUUUGAGUUUCGUAAGCUCGGUCUACUAUUUAGUAGUACUGACUUGCUGGCUCUUCUUCUCGAGGCCUAUGGGUGCACUUAACCGUGUGUUCAUAGUGUUCGGGACUUUUACCGUGAGAAAAUUAGAGUGUUCAUAGCAGGCUUUUGCUUGAAUAUUGCAGCAUGGAAUAAUGGAAAAGGACUGUUUCCCAGUGGUCAAUGGCGAAACGGUAAUGAUUAAAAGGGACAGGCGGCGGCAUUCGUAUUGCCACGUUAGAGGUGAAAUUCUUGGAUCGUGGAAAGACGAACGACUGCGAAAGCAUUUGCCGAGGAUGUUUUCAUUAA